This 214-nucleotide unclassified non-coding RNA is filed under the name Hevea brasiliensis (rubber tree). Lineage: Eukaryota; Viridiplantae; Streptophyta; Magnoliopsida; Malpighiales; Euphorbiaceae. The record is from RNAcentral.
CUUGAAAAUUGAUUAUAGUGGGUUUAAUAUCUGUUGAGAUUCAUUUACAAGACCCGGAAUCAAGCGUAAGUAAUGAAAUCCAUCAGCUACCACGAAAAUUGUAACAUGGAUUGGACAGCAGGUGAGCAAAAAAAAAAAAGCCCUAAAAAUUACAGAAUACAAAACAAACACACAACGUUUGCAUGACACCAAGAAAGUGAUAGUGUUGUUGCUC